This 2079-nucleotide long non-coding RNA is filed under the name Oryzias sinensis (Chinese medaka). RNAcentral describes it as "lncRNA (ENSOSIG00000003163.1)". Lineage: Eukaryota; Metazoa; Chordata; Actinopteri; Beloniformes; Adrianichthyidae. The record is from RNAcentral.
CACAGAGCCUGUCAUUGUCUACAUCGCCCCUACCUGGCAUGAAGCAGGGUUUAAUUUAUCAGCACUGCUGGGAUGAAGAAAUGUGAUGAAAUCAAAACACUGCUAGUCAAAGCCCACCCUCUUGUUUUGCUGCAAUCUUUGCCGUCGUUCUCUAUCUGUCUCUGCACCCCCCCCCCCCCCCAUGCACUUUGAAGCCUCUUUGCUGAAGGGAGCCUGACUCAGCAGACGGGCUUGUUUCAGCUCAACAAGACUGACGCGAGCUCCAAUGUCAGGCAACCUUGGCAGAGACUUAUGAGUCUGACGCUGGCAUGCAAAUAAAUUAAACACAACGUCGGAUCACAAAUCACAUGUUCAAAGUGGGAGGUGACACUUCGAUGCGCUUGAAUAAAAGCACCAGGAUGAAGGGGGUAUGUGUGUGUGUGUGUGUGUGUGUGGGGGGGGGGGGGGAUUCCUCUGCACUGAAUGACAACGACAUAGCAACAGGAUUGCGUCACAGGCAGAAAAAGGAGGUGAAUGGGAGGAGGGAGCGCCAGGACGCGUUGGCAGGAGGUGUAAAAAUGAUUGUCGGUGUAGCUGACCGAGUUGAGGUCGAGGCCCUCUCCUCCCCCUCCCGUCUCUGCUCUGUUCCUGAAGAGACCAGCAAUGACCACUCACCUCAUCAGCCUGCCGCCCUCUUAAGGAGAUCCAGUUCCAGUAUUCAUCGCCAGUUCGUUUUUACUGUACGGUGCAUAGUCUGGUCGCCUCAUGCAUCUUGAUCAUGCUUUGUUUCCUCUCGCUAAUUUUCUCCUUAUGCCUCACCUACAGGAAAAGAUACCCACCUGGUUACUGUGAUUAUUCCAUGCUCCUCGUCUUCGCCUCAGAUCCAGUUCAAGUCAAGCCCUCCAGAUCGGCCACUGCCAAACCCUCCAGCCACGCCUUGCCUCCUAGCCAAGACUCCUGAUCCGCAUCUUACCAUGUACCAUCUGAACUCUGCCUUCAAGUUUGCCACUGAACUUACAGACUGUAAAUUAAAUCAUCCUACUUACCUAACGUUCUCCUGGUUUUUCUUCCGGGUUCCACCAUUUGGGUCUGCCAAGUCUAGUGAUAUCAUGACAGUAUAUGGUGUGUAUAGGGCUAUUCUACCUUGCUUUAAGACACAAAAAGCGUGUUGUCAAAGGAAAGAAGAAAACAAGAAAGCUGGAAUACAAGCCAUACAGCAUGAGAUGUUUACUGAAAAUGAUUGAAAAAUGAUUGAAAAUGAAAAAUGAUUUUGUUAGCUGGUUAAAUUCCAGUAAAUUCAGGACACAAACAUAAAAGCAUGCAGUACAGAAAUAAUUUAAGCUAUAGAGGAAUUCAUGCUUAGUGCCAAUUCUGAUAGAAGUUGUGUAUACAUGUUGAUCAAAUCAGACUUAGAAUUUUAAUUUGACUUUUAAUCUCAGAUUUUUUACAAACCAAAGAUUGUUAACCUGAUUUAUGCCAUAGAUCCCCCUAAAGGAUACAAAGAAAACACUUUGUUAGUAAAAACAAAAGACCUUUUUAAAACUAAAAGUUAUCUGACAUUAAGUCCUCAGAUUAAUUAAGGAACUUCGAUGGCCGCACUUAGAAACACUGCCAUCAAUAUCCAUUGCUUCUAAUCCAUUCAUAUUUUAUAUAUCUGUAUGCAUAGUUAUCCUUGACGGCAGAACAACAUAUUUAAAAUAUAACGCCAAUAACAGAAACAAGCAUUUCAACCUUUCUCGACUGACAGUGCAGCAAUUAAUUUGCGCCGGUUCUGUCUCGCUGUGUCUGUUAAUGGAGCACUGUGCUCUUGAUGGUGGGUAAAGAAAAAAAGUUUUAUUCCAAACAGACACAAGACAGACCUUGGUGAGGGAAAUGGCAGGAGAGAUGGGCCUGCAGUUUUGAGCAAGAGGAGCAAUUGUUUCUUUAGUCUCCAGGGGACUAAAGUAAGAGUGCCAGCCAUCCAUUUUUAAAUGGUUGGAAAAGAAGGAAGAAGAAAAGGAUCCACAAGACCUUUAGAAUGUGGAUUUCCAGCUGUCUACCAGCUGUCCCCAAUUUACCCCCUUCCUCAUAUAAUCUCAUAAUAGGGUGAGGAGGUGGGGG